RNAcentral lists this non-coding RNA (451 nucleotides) under Pongo abelii (Sumatran orangutan). Lineage: Eukaryota; Metazoa; Chordata; Mammalia; Primates; Hominidae. The record is from RNAcentral.
GGAGGCGGACGCGAGUAGCUCGGCAGGGGGACUCGCUUGGCUUUCGUGCCAUCCGUGGACACAGUCGCGCGGGUCUUUGUGGGAAGAAACAAAUCACAAAAGCAAUUAAGAGAGCUCAAAUAAUGGGGUUUAUGCCAGUUACAUUCAAGGAUCCUGCGUAUUUCAGGGACCCUAAAGUUUAUAACAUCAGAUAUAGGGAAUAAAUUCUAUCACAUUACCACCAGUAAACUUAUUUUAUAAGAUGGGUCUCACCAUGUUGCCCAGGCUGGUCUCUAACUCCUGGCCUCAAUCAAUCCUGCCUUGUCUUCCCUAAGUGCUGGGAUUACAGCUGUGAGCCACUGUGCCUGGCCUCACUUUUCCAAUUCUAAAGAAUGUGUGUAAGCCUUUCCCUCAACAUCUUAUUGAAAGGUGAAAAAAGGUUUGGAAAUAAAAGCAUCUGAUGUUUGAAAAA